ACAAAGCAAAGCUCCGCGCACAAACGGCGUCCCCCGCUGCCCCCCGCUCUCCCGUCCGUCCUCCUGCGGCCUCGGCUGCCGCCGCCAGACGGCUGCAAGAUCAAAUCCUGUCCUCUGCCUCCCUCCUUGCAGCCCCUGAAGGUCCCGUGAGCAUCCUUUGCGUUUCAGCAUCCAAAACCUCAAUGAACCUGUUUAAUUCCUGUCUGGGACGAAGCAAGCGGCUGAAAUCCAUCUCUAGGAGCACUCCGGUUUAUUUAGGCUGCAGUUGGAUGCACAGUUUGUUAUCAUUCUCAUGUUUCAUUUUGUUUUUGGCAGUGUAGCUGCAUAAACAUCCCCCACAGCACCCCUCCCGGGGCAGAGCUCGGGGCUGGGCGUCAAGCGGGGGGACAGCGGGGAUGGGGGUGGCAUAGGCUGCUCAACCAGGGCUGCUGCUGGAGCAGCUGCACCUCUGAGCACUGCAGUUAUGUCCCGUGGUGCUUUUCAUCCCUUGGUACUGGCAUCUGCGCUUUGGCUUUUACUUGUUCUCCAGUGCCUGCGCCACAGCUUGACGUGAAUCCGCUGGAAUUUGA
RNAcentral lists this long non-coding RNA (569 nucleotides) under Gallus gallus (chicken). RNAcentral describes it as "long non-coding RNA NONGGAT007815". The record is from RNAcentral. Lineage: Eukaryota; Metazoa; Chordata; Aves; Galliformes; Phasianidae.